This 396-nucleotide ribosomal RNA is filed under the name uncultured bacterium. Its description in RNAcentral is "bacterial SSU rRNA". It matches the Rfam family "Bacterial small subunit ribosomal RNA", at positions 28 to 429 of the family's 1533-position model. The record is from RNAcentral.
GACGAACGCUGGCGGCGUGCUUAACACAUGCAAGUCGAGCGGUAAGGCCCUUUCGGGGGUACACGAGCGGCGAACGGGUGAGUAACACGUGGGUGACCUGCCCCUAGCUCUGGGAUAAGCCUGGGAAACUGGGUCUAAUACCGGAUAUGACUCCAUGACGCAUGUUGUGGGGUGGAAAGCCUUGUGCGGCUAGGGAUGGGCCUGCGGCCUAUCAGCUUGUUGGUGGGGUGAUGGCCUACCAAGGCGACGACGGGUAGCCGGCCUGAGAGGGCGACCGGCCACACUGGGACUGAGACACGGCCCAGACUCCUACGGGAGGCAGCAGUGGGGAAUCUUGCGCAAUGGGCGAAAGCCUGACGCAGCGACGCCGCGUGGGGAUGACGGCCUCGGUGUAAC